Molecule: ribosomal RNA, 793 nt
Filed under: uncultured bacterium
Lineage: Bacteria
Description: bacterial SSU rRNA
Rfam family: Bacterial small subunit ribosomal RNA
Source: RNAcentral
AGAGUUUGAUCAUGGCUCAGAUUGAACGCUGGCGGCAUGCCUUACACAUGCAAGUCGAACGGUAACAGGCCGCAAGGUGCUGACGAGUGGCGAACGGGUGAGUAAUGCAUCGGAACGUGCCCAGUAGUGGGGGAUAGCCCGGCGAAAGCCGGAUUAAUACCGCAUACGACCUGAGGGUGAAAGGGGGGGAUCGCAAGACCUCUCGCUAUUGGAGCGGCCGAUGUCAGAUUAGCUAGUUGGUGGGGUAAAGGCCUACCAAGGCAACGAUCUGUAGUUGGUCUGAGAGGACGACCAGCCACACUGGGACUGAGACACGGCCCAGACUCCUACGGGAGGCAGCAGUGGGGAAUUUUGGACAAUGGGCGCAAGCCUGAUCCAGCAAUGCCGCGUGCAGGAAGAAGGCCUUCGGGUUGUAAACUGCUUUUGUCAGGGAAGAAAUCUUCUGGGUUAAUACCUCGGGAGGAUGACGGUACCUGAAGAAUAAGCACCGGCUAACUACGUGCCAGCAGCCGCGGUAAUACGUAGGGUGCGAGCGUUAAUCGGAAUUACUGGGCGUAAAGCGUGCGCAGGCGGCUUUGCAAGACAGAGGUGAAAUCCCCGGGCUCAACCUGGGAACUGCCUUUGUGACUGCAAGGCUAGAGUACGGCAGAGGGGGAUGGAAUUCCGCGUGUAGCAGUGGAAUGCGUAGAUAUGCGGAGGAACACCAAUGGCGAAGGCAAUCCCCUGGGCCUGUACUGACGCUCAUGCACGAAAGCGUGGGGAGCAAACAGGAUUAGAUACCCCGGUAGUCCAA